This 92-nucleotide transfer RNA is filed under the name Abditibacteriota bacterium. RNAcentral's name for it is "tRNA-Ser(gct)". It matches the Rfam family "tRNA". Rfam says of the family: Transfer RNA (tRNA) molecules are approximately 80 nucleotides in length. Their secondary structure includes four short double-helical elements and three loops (D, anti-codon, and T loops). The record is from RNAcentral. Lineage: Bacteria; Pseudomonadati; Abditibacteriota.
GAGGGGUUCGAGUAGUGGUAACUCGCCAAUAGGCUCCGUUGGCAAUGGAGCGUUAUAUCUUGGUGCCAGAGGUUCGAUUCCUCUACCCGUCA